GGGCGAUUAGCUCAGCGGGAGAGCGCUCGCUUCACACGCGAGAGGUCACUGGUUCAAUCCCAGUAUCGCCCACCA
RNAcentral lists this transfer RNA (75 nucleotides) under Rhodospirillaceae bacterium. Its description in RNAcentral is "tRNA-Val". It matches the Rfam family "tRNA". Rfam says of the family: Transfer RNA (tRNA) molecules are approximately 80 nucleotides in length. Their secondary structure includes four short double-helical elements and three loops (D, anti-codon, and T loops). Further hydrogen bonds mediate the characteristic L-shaped molecular structure. tRNAs have two regions of fundamental functional importance: the anti-codon, which is responsible for specific mRNA codon recognition, and the 3' end, to which the tRNAs corresponding amino acid is attached (by aminoacyl-tRNA synthetases). tRNAs cope with the degeneracy of the genetic code in two manners: having more than one tRNA (with a specific anti-codon) for a particular amino acid; and 'wobble' base-pairing, i.e. permitting non-standard base-pairing at the 3rd anti-codon position. The record is from RNAcentral. Lineage: Bacteria; Pseudomonadati; Pseudomonadota; Alphaproteobacteria; Rhodospirillales; Rhodospirillaceae. RNAcentral also lists the same sequence under 3 other names.